This 332-nucleotide ribosomal RNA is filed under the name uncultured eukaryote. RNAcentral describes it as "partial 18S ribosomal RNA". It matches the Rfam family "Eukaryotic small subunit ribosomal RNA", at positions 1470 to 1796 of the family's 1831-position model. The record is from RNAcentral.
CCCUUAGAUGUUCUGGGCUGCACCCGUGCUACACUGGCAGGUUCAGCGAGCUUCAUGCCCUGAUCUGAAAGGAAUGGGAAAUCUUUUCAAAACCUGCCGUGCUUGGGAUAGAUGUUUGCAAUUAUUCAUCUUCAACGAGGAUUGCCUUGUAAGCGCACGUCAUCAGCGUGCAUUGAAUACGACCCUGUAUUCUGUACACACCGCCCGUCGCUCCUGCCGAUUGAAGUUUUCGGUGAGUUGACAGGAGGAUUUUUUUGAAACUGGUUCGCCAGUGGAUUUUAGAUCCAAAUGCCAACGAAUCGAUGGCUUUAGAGGAAGGAGAAGUCGUAACA